Small nuclear RNA from Ailuropoda melanoleuca (giant panda), 103 nucleotides. The record is from Ensembl. Lineage: Eukaryota; Metazoa; Chordata; Mammalia; Carnivora; Ursidae.
GUACUUUCUUCCAUAGUGCAUAUCCUACCGUUGGAACAAUUCAGAGAUUAGCAUGGUCCCUGCGCAAGGAUGGCACGUAAAUGCAAAAGUGCUCUGUAUUUAA